RNAcentral lists this ribosomal RNA (351 nucleotides) under Ciulfina biseriata. Its description in RNAcentral is "partial 16S ribosomal RNA". The record is from RNAcentral. Lineage: Eukaryota; Metazoa; Arthropoda; Insecta; Mantodea; Liturgusidae.
GGCCGCAGUAUUUUGACUGUGCAAAGGUAGCAUAAUCAUUAGUCUUUUAAUUGGAGGCUGGAAUGAAUGGUUGGACGAGGCAAAAAUCUAUCUUAUAAUAAUUAAGAUUGAAUUUAGAAUUUAAGUAAAAAUACUUAAAUUGAGUUAAGGGACGAGAAGACCCUAUAGAGUUUAAUAUAUUAAGUGUUAAUUGAGUUUAAAUUAAUGUAAUUUUUGGUUAAUAUGUCAUAUAUUUAGUUGGGGUGACUAAAAGAUAAAAGUAACUCUUUUUUGUAGUAAAUAAUUUUAUUAAGUUUAAGAUCCACAAAAUAGUGAUUAUAAGAUUAAAUUACCUUAGGGAUAACAGCAUAA